CCAACGGCCCUCUUUAGGGCCACCUUACUUUUGGCUGUUAUAUUUCU
Non-coding RNA from Hymenolepis diminuta, 47 nucleotides. NCBI's taxonomy places the organism in Eukaryota, Metazoa, Platyhelminthes, Cestoda, Cyclophyllidea, Hymenolepididae. The record is from Rfam.